CCUGGCGGCCAUAGCGGCGUGGUACCACCUGAUCCCAUCCCGAACUCAGCAGUGAAACGCGCAUGCGCCGAUGGUAGUGUGGCUUAAGCCAUGCAAGAGUAGGUCACCGCCAGGGGCUUUAUCCUGAAAUACCCGCUACGAGUCAUCGUGGCGGGUUUUUCUUUGCCUGCGUUUCCAUCGGAAACGACCCGCAACAGGUCACCGCCAGGGGCUUUAUCUAGAAGGCCUCCCCAAUCGGGGAGGCCUUCGUCUUUGCGGCUGUUGCCGGUGCGCGCAUCGCGCGCGACCCGCAACAGGUCACCGCCAGGGGCUUUAUCC
RNAcentral lists this ribosomal RNA (318 nucleotides) under Luteibacter rhizovicinus. Lineage: Bacteria; Pseudomonadati; Pseudomonadota; Gammaproteobacteria; Lysobacterales; Rhodanobacteraceae. The record is from RNAcentral.